GGGCUAGUAGCUCAGUGGUAGAGCAUUCGUCUUAUAAGCGAACGGUCGAAGGUUCGAAUCCUUCCUAGCCCA
RNAcentral lists this transfer RNA (72 nucleotides) under Candidatus Portnoybacteria bacterium CG23_combo_of_CG06-09_8_20_14_all_37_13. Its description in RNAcentral is "tRNA-Ile". It matches the Rfam family "tRNA". Rfam says of the family: Transfer RNA (tRNA) molecules are approximately 80 nucleotides in length. Their secondary structure includes four short double-helical elements and three loops (D, anti-codon, and T loops). Further hydrogen bonds mediate the characteristic L-shaped molecular structure. tRNAs have two regions of fundamental functional importance: the anti-codon, which is responsible for specific mRNA codon recognition, and the 3' end, to which the tRNAs corresponding amino acid is attached (by aminoacyl-tRNA synthetases). tRNAs cope with the degeneracy of the genetic code in two manners: having more than one tRNA (with a specific anti-codon) for a particular amino acid; and 'wobble' base-pairing, i.e. permitting non-standard base-pairing at the 3rd anti-codon position. Lineage: Bacteria; Candidatus Portnoyibacteriota. The record is from RNAcentral.